This 1965-nucleotide unclassified non-coding RNA is filed under the name Hevea brasiliensis (rubber tree). Lineage: Eukaryota; Viridiplantae; Streptophyta; Magnoliopsida; Malpighiales; Euphorbiaceae. The record is from RNAcentral.
CUGGCAAUUUACUUCCUAGGCAUAAAACAACUAGGCGUAGCAACGAUAAUUUCAUAUUUCAAUUUCCUGUCAACAGAUAUUUCCAUUUCAGAUAAUAUCCAACUCCAUUAAUGACCUCAUACAAGCCACCAUGUACAGAUGCAAGAAGUUGGAAUAGCAAAAUUGCAGGAGGAAUGUGAUGAUAUACUUCCAAACAAAGAAAGUUACAAACACGCGAUGUGAAUAAAACUGACAAGUUAAUGAACCCACAUCAACGGGAUUGUGUUUCAGGGGAAAAUGGGCGCUCAAAGAAGGAAUGCAGCAAAAACAAUGCUACCAAAAGUGUGCAGCCGCAAGAGGUCAACUUGAUUAUAAAAAUGAAAAAGAUGCCCAAUAGGGAUAUGCCUUGGAUUUCAUUUCAACCGCAUUAGCUAAGUGCUUAUCUUCGAACAGGGUAAUUUCCGCCUUGAGCUGGUGCCUCAUACCCACUUCCAGCAUGAUCUGGUGGCGUUCCAGACCCGUAAGGCACAUUGCUUGCAGGUGCCAUUUGUCCAUGUGGUCCAGCUAGUACUCUUGAAGCAGCAUCAUAUCCAGCACCCCUGGAUGCAUCAUAAUGAGGUCCUCGUUGCACACCAUAUGCCGGUCCUCUCUGGACGUCAAAGCCAGUUAUUCUCUGUGCAUCAUAACCAGGUAAUCUCUGUGCAUCAUAGGUAGGUCCUCUUUGUAUAUCAUAUCCGGAUCCUCUAGGUUCAUAAUUGUAUCCCCUCUGUACAUCAUAUCCAGCUCCUCUUGGUACAUCAUAUCCAGCUCCUCGGGAUGUGUCAUAGCCUGGUCCUUUUGAUCCCUCAUAACCAGGGGCUCUGGGUGCAUCAUAAACAGAUUUUGGAGCCGCAGAGCCAGAUUGAGCUCCAGCAUGAGUAGGAGUCCCAGCACCAGCAUUAGCAACGGUACUAGCAUUGGCAGCAUAAGUAGCACCAGCAUUAGCAACAGUACUAGCAUUGGCAGCACCAGCACCAGAGUUACCAGGAAUGGCAGCAUGCCCCUGGCCUUGGGGAACACCAUAGCUAUCUUCAUACAUAUUUUGUCCGACAGGCCGACCAGAAGCCUCCUUCUCAUUGUUCCCAGAGGCACCACCAUAAGGCCCACCAGCAACAGUUCUUAUAUCAACAUUUGCUCUGUUAGUAAGUUCUAAACGAAGCUUUUCCACUUCCCUAGCCAUUGUAACAUAGUUUUUCUCCAUGGCCUGAAGUGACUCCAGGUGGUCACUGAAUAAUUUCUUUUCAUAGUCAUAUGAAACCCUGCAUCGCUGAUAUUCCUGCCUGAGACUUUCAAGUUCCGACAUCAGAACAGGAAUCUGCUGCACAUCUGCAUGGGCCCUAUGAAGAUCCUGAGUCAACUGAUGUACUUUAGACAUAAGCUCCCGCCUUGCUACAACCAAGUUCUCAGCCUCUGCUCGUGCCUGCUGCAACUCCAACCUAACAGGCUCUGCAGCCUUCAACUCUGUUUCCAUCUUGGCAAUUUUAUCCAUAAGGCCCCUCAUUUGUUGUUCUCUUUCAGACUUGAUAGCACCAGUGUGAGCAUGCAACAUCUGCAACUCAUGCUGCGCAGCAGCAAGUUCCUGUCUCAAGUUUCCAUGUGUGGCAGCCAGCCUCUGGUUCUCUGUUGCAAGUCUCUGCAUCUCCACAUGUUGUGCAGCAAGCUUUUGUUCCAUAACUUCUGGGGGUGGCAAUAUGUCAAAUGGAGGAAUGGGGCCAAGCGGAGGGCGUACACCAGGAACAAAUGGAUCAGGGUGCACUAUACCCGGACCAGGAAGAGGACGCCUCAGAUGAGGAGGAGGAAUUCGACCUUUACUUCCCAUUUAAAAUAGAUAAUUUUGAUCUGAACGGAAAUGCUAUGGCGGAGCCUUUGACGGUGAAACAGCUCGAGCGAUUUUUGGUAAGCGAGGCAAACUCUCUGGCCAGAGCACUAAUUGAAGGUGGAAAAAAU